UACGCCUAGGACACCAGAAUA
RNAcentral lists this small nuclear RNA (21 nucleotides) under Arabidopsis thaliana (thale cress). RNAcentral's name for it is "snRNA_05598". The record is from RNAcentral. Lineage: Eukaryota; Viridiplantae; Streptophyta; Magnoliopsida; Brassicales; Brassicaceae.